UACGUAGGGCGCAAGCGUUAUCCGGAAUUAUUGGGCGUAAAGAGCUCGUAGGCGGUUUGUCGCGUCUGCCGUGAAAGUCCGGGGCUCAACUCCGGAUCUGCGGUGGGUACGGGCAGACUAGAGUGAUGUAGGGGAGACUGGAAUUCCUGGUGUAGCGGUGAAAUGCGCAGAGUAUCAGGAGGAACACCGAUGGCGAAGGCAGGUCUCUGGGCCACUACUGACGCUGAGAAGCGAAAGCAUGGGGAGCGAACAGG
RNAcentral lists this ribosomal RNA (254 nucleotides) under uncultured bacterium. RNAcentral describes it as "partial 16S ribosomal RNA". It matches the Rfam family "Bacterial small subunit ribosomal RNA", at positions 524 to 776 of the family's 1533-position model. The record is from RNAcentral.